GGGUAGAGCACUGUUUCGGCUAGGGGGCCAUCCCGGCUUACCAACCCGAUGCAAACUGCGAAUACCGGAGAAUGUUAUCACGGGAGACACACGGCGGGUGCUAACGUCCGUCGUGAAGAGGGAAACAACCCAGACCGCCAGCUAAGGUCCCAAAGUCAUGGUUAAGUGGGAAACGAUGUGGGAAGGCCCAGACAGCCAGGAUGUUGGCUUAGAAGCAGCCAUCAUUUAAAGAAAGCGUAAUAGCUCACUGGUCGAGUCGGCCUGCGCGGAAGAUGUAACGGGGCUAAACCAUGCACCGAAGCUGCGGCAGCGACACUGUGUGUUGUUGGGUAGGGGAGCGUUCUGUAAGCCUGUGAAGGUGUGUCGUGAGGCAUGCUGGAGGUAUCAGAAGUGCGAAUGCUGACAUAAGUAACGAUAAAGCGGGUGAAAAGCCCGCUCGCCGGAAGACCAAGGGUUCCUGUCCAACGUUAAUCGGGGCAGGGUGAGUCGACCCCUAAGGCGAGGCCGAAAGGCGUAGUCGAUGGGAAACGGGUUAAUAUUCCCGUACUUGGUGUUACUGCGAAGGGGGGACGGAGAAGGCUAUGUUGGCCGGGCGACGGUUGUCCCGGUUUAAGCGUGUAGGUGUGUGUUCCAGGUAAAUCCGGUUCACUUUAACACUGAGGCGUGACGACGAGGCACUACGGUGCUGAAGCAACAAAUGCCCUGCUUCCAGGAAAAGCCUCUAAGCAUCAGGUAACAUCAAAUCGUACCCCAAACCGACACAGGUGGUCAGGUAGAGAAUACCAAGGCGCUUGAGAGAACUCGGGUGAAGGAACUAGGCAAAAUGGUGCCGUAACUUCGGGAGAAGGCACGCUGACACGUAGGUGAAGUGAUUUACUCAUGGAGCUGAAGUCAGUCGAAGAUACCAGCUGGCUGCAACUGUUUAUUAAAAACACAGCACUGUGCAAACACGAAAGUGGACGUAUACGGUGUGACGCCUGCCCGGUGCCGGAAGGUUAAUUGAUGGGGUCAGCGCAAGCGAAGCUCCUGAUCGAAGCCCCGGUAAACGGCGGCCGUAACUAUAACGGUCCUAAGGUAGCGAAAUUCCUUGUCGGGUAAGUUCCGACCUGCACGAAUGGCGUAAUGAUGGCCAGGCUGUCUCCACCCGAGACUCAGUGAAAUUGAACUCGCUGUGAAGAUGCAGUGUACCCGCGGCAAGACGGAAAGACCCCGUGAACCUUUACUAUAGCUUGACACUGAACAUUGAGCCUUGAUGUGUAGGAUAGGUGGGAGGCUUUGAAGCGUGGACGCCAGUCUGCGUGGAGCCGACCUUGAAAUACCACCCUUUAAUGUUUGAUGUUCUAACGUGGACCCGU
Molecule: ribosomal RNA, 1355 nt
Filed under: Salmonella enterica
Lineage: Bacteria; Pseudomonadati; Pseudomonadota; Gammaproteobacteria; Enterobacterales; Enterobacteriaceae
Description: partial 23S ribosomal RNA
Rfam family: Bacterial large subunit ribosomal RNA
Source: RNAcentral